AAGUCGUAACAAGGUUUCCGUAGGUGAACCUGCGGAAGGAUCAUUAAUGAAGUCUGGGCUCCGGCCCUCUCUCUUCUACACACUUGUGAACUUACACUGUUGCUUUGGCAGGUUUCCGGAGGGGCGAAAGCUCUGAAGGUCAGGUCGAAAGGCGCCUGUCAAGGACAUUUAUCCACCCUCUUUAUAUUGUCUGAUUUUUGUUUUUAACAAAUUAUAAUAAAA
RNAcentral lists this unclassified non-coding RNA (222 nucleotides) under plant metagenome. RNAcentral's name for it is "partial contains small subunit ribosomal RNA and internal transcribed spacer 1". The stretch from base 1 to 46 matches the Rfam family "Eukaryotic small subunit ribosomal RNA", at positions 1786 to 1831 of the family's 1831-position model. The record is from RNAcentral.